AUCCGCCUGCAUUCAUGCAUUCUCAGCUAAAUGUUAUCAUGCAUUAUUUUAUUGAAUUGCCAUAUUAUGAUGCACUAUUUGUUGAUAGUAAAAAUUGUUUGAUUACUUGUGCUAUGAACAUACUGUGGCUUGUUUGUGUGAAAUUGGGAUGAAGUGAACCACCAUGGGUUUGUGAGGACGGUCUGUGAUAUGGAUCCUGAAUAUGAUAUGAUAUGAAAUUUGACCGUCGGCCGGGAAAAUGGGAGAUCGGCGCCCCCGUGUGCACCUGAUGAUAUGGAUUGUAUGGAAAACCACAGGAUGGCUUCUUGUUGUUNNN
RNAcentral lists this long non-coding RNA (316 nucleotides) under Jatropha curcas. Its description in RNAcentral is "long non-coding RNA (JCUR_LNC002434)". Lineage: Eukaryota; Viridiplantae; Streptophyta; Magnoliopsida; Malpighiales; Euphorbiaceae. The record is from RNAcentral.